RNAcentral lists this ribosomal RNA (821 nucleotides) under uncultured bacterium. RNAcentral describes it as "bacterial SSU rRNA". It matches the Rfam family "Bacterial small subunit ribosomal RNA", at positions 96 to 918 of the family's 1533-position model. The record is from RNAcentral.
UGGCGCACGGGUGAGUAACGCGUAUGCAACCUACCUUUAACUGAGGGAUAGCCCAUAGAAAUGUGGAUUAAUACCUCAUAGUUCUUUUGUCCCGCAUGGGAUGAUAGAUAAAGCUCCGGCGGUUAAAGAUGGGCAUGCGUGACAUUAGUUUGUUGGUGAGGUAACGGCUCACCAAGACUACGAUGUCUAGGGGUUCUGAGAGGAUGAUCCCCCACACUGGUACUGAGACACGGACCAGACUCCUACGGGAGGCAGCAGUGAGGAAUAUUAGUCAAUGGGCGCAAGCCUGAACCAGCCAUCCCGCGUGAAGGAUGAAGGUCCUAUGGAUUGUAAACUUCUUUUAUACACCAAGAAAAACACCCACGUGUGGGUGCCCGACGGUAGUGUAUGAAUAAGCAUCGGCUAACUCCGUGCCAGCAGCCGCGGUAAUACGGAGGAUGCAAGCGUUAUCCGGAUUCAUUGGGUUUAAAGGGUGCGUAGGCGGCUUUUUAAGUCAGUGGUGAAAUCCUGUCGCUUAACGAUAGAAUUGCCAUUGAUGCUGAAAAGCUUGAGUACAUUUGAGGUAAGCGGAAUGUGUAGUGUAGCGGUGAAAUGCUUAGAUAUUACACAGAACACCAAUUGCGAAGGCAGCUUACUAAACUGUAACUGACGCUGAUGCACGAAAGCGUGGGGAGCGAACAGGAUUAGAUACCCUGGUAGUCCACGCCGUAAACGAUGCUCACUCGCUGUUUGCGAUACACAGCAAGCGGCCAAGCGAAAGCAUUAAGUGAGCCACCUGGGGAGUACGAUCGCAAGGUUGAAACUCAAAGGAAUUGACGGGG